Molecule: RNA transcript, 3986 nt
Organism: Mangifera indica (mango)
Lineage: Eukaryota; Viridiplantae; Streptophyta; Magnoliopsida; Sapindales; Anacardiaceae
Gene name: calcium-transporting ATPase 2, plasma membrane-type-like
Exons: 8
Source: RefSeq, a predicted model, not a curated record
ACUCCAAUGGCGUAUGGAAAGCGUAAAAGUAUAAACUGGCUUUAAUGUUUAAGACUUUAUUUUGUGGGUCUUUAUUUGAUAUCAUAGGAAGCUCACAAGAAGUCCACAUGUAAAGCAACUCUUUGUUCAUCCGAUUAACCCGGUCCUUUCCGCAAGAACAGGACAGAUUAAAUUUCCGAAAAAAUGAAGAAGUUUUCUCUAACCUGACAAACACGGCUCAUAAUGGCGACUUUAUAAUAUUAAAUUCCACGCGUGGUGAAGCUUCCUUGUUGCAGCAACUAAAGUUCUUUUCAAUUGCCGAAUUAUUUCGUGGUCUUUACUGCUUUUGGAGACUAUUUGAAUGAUGCAGCGGGGCGUGUUUUUCAUCAGAAACGGUGCUUGCUGAUUUUGAAAGAAACUGAAAUACAUUUGGCUGAAAGAAGAAAGAGGUAGUGUGGAUUGAUGGAGAGUUUUUUGCAAGAGAACUUUGAUGUUAGAUCGAAACAUUCGUCGACAGAGGUGUUGGAGAGAUGGAGAAAUCUUUGUGGAGUCGUCAAAAAUCCCAAACGGCGGUUUCGAUUCACGGCCAACCUCUCUAAACGGCACGAAGCUGAUGCUAUGCGCAAAACCAAUCAGGAAAAGUUGCGGAUUGCUGUUCUGGUUUCAAAAGCUGCAAUUCAAUUUCUAAUGGGUGAGCUUCUUCUCAAUUCAGAUAAACUUAAUAUUUGUUACAUCACAUUGUUCUUCGUAACCUUUUCUCAUGAAAAUUUUGCAGGCGUGUCACCAAGUGACUACACAGUAGCUGAGGAAGUCAAAGCUGCAGGCUUUCAAAUAUGUGCAGAUGAGUUAGGGUCCAUCGUUGAAGGUCAUGAUGUAAAGAAACUGAAAUUUCAUAAUGGAGUCUGUGGUAUUGCAGAAAAACUGUCCACAUCAAUAACUGACGGCCUUACUACAAGUGAUGAUCUUCUCAAUCGCAGACAAGAGAUAUAUGGAAUCAAUAAAUUUGCUGAGAGUGAACCUAGGGGUUUCUGGGUAUUUGUUUGGGAAGCUCUUCAGGAUAUGACACUAAUGAUACUUGGGGUGUGCGCUUUUGUAUCUUUAAUUGUUGGGAUAGCAAUGGAAGGAUGGCCUCAAGGGGCCCAUGAUGGCCUUGGAAUUGUUGCAAGUAUCUUGUUGGUUGUAUUCGUUACGGCAACAAGUGAUUACCGUCAAUCUCUACAGUUUAGAGAUCUAGACAAAGAGAAAAAAAAGAUAACAAUUCAGGUAACAAGAAAUGGAUUCAGACAGAAAUUGUCCAUCUAUGAUCUACUUCCUGGUGAUAUUGUACAUUUGGGGAUUGGAGACCAAGUCCCUGCGGAUGGACUUUUUGUUUCAGGAUUUUCUGUCUCGAUUGAUGAAUCAAGUUUAACUGGGGAGAGUGAACCGGUAAUGGUGAAUGCAGAAAAUCCUUUCAUGCUUUCCGGAACUAAGAUUCAAGAUGGUACAUGCAAAAUGAUGGUCACCACUGUUGGGAUGAGAACCCAAUGGGGUAAACUGAUGGCAACUCUUAGUGAAGGGGGAGAUGAUGAAACUCCAUUGCAGGUUAAAUUGAAUGGAGUUGCCACUAUUAUUGGCAAGGCAGGCCUAUUCUUUGCGAUAGUGACAUUUGCAGUUUUGGUGCAAGGACUUUUUAGUCAUAAACUACGAGAAGGGACAAUCUGGAGUUGGUCUGGGAAUGAAGCUUUGGAAAUGUUAGAAUUCUUUGCUGUUGCUGUUACAAUUGUUGUUGUUGCUGUUCCAGAGGGGCUUCCAUUAGCUGUAACAUUGAGUCUUGCCUUUGCAAUGAAGAAGAUGAUGAAUGAUAAAGCACUUGUUCGUCAUCUGGCGGCUUGUGAGACAAUGGGGUCAGCUACAAGUAUUUGUAGUGACAAAACUGGCACACUAACCACUAAUCACAUGACUGUUGUGAAAACAUGCAUUUGCAUGAAUAUCAAGGAAAUAAUUAAUACUGAUGGGGCUUCUAGCUUGCUCUCAGCGCUUCCUGAAUCUACAGCAAUACUUCUGCUACAAUCAAUAUUUAGUAACACUGGGGGUGAAGUAGUUGUUAACAAAGAUGGGAAACAUGAGAUACUAGGAUCGCCCACUGAGACUGCUAUAUUGGAGUUGGGCUUAUCACUUGGUGGAGAUUUUCAGAAAGUACGACAAGCGUUGAAGCUUGUUAAAGUUGAGCCGUUCAACUCUACAAAGAAACGGAUGGCAGUAGUGGUGGAGCUCCCUGAAGGACGCUUGCGAGCCCACUGUAAGGGUGCUUCAGAAAUAGUUUUAGCUUCCUGUGACAAGGUGAUUGAUUCGAAUGGCAAAGUUGUUCCCCUUGAUGAAGGGGCCAUUAACUAUCUCAACGCUAUAAUCGAUCAGUUUGCUAGUGAGGCACUUCGAACUCUUUGUCUUGCCUACAUGGAACUGGAGAAUGAAUUUUUACCAGAUAAUCCUAUUCCGGUUUCGGGGUACACUUGUAUUGGAAUUGUGGGUAUUAAGGAUCCUGUUCGUCCUGGUGUCAAAGAGUCUGUUGCGAUUUGUCGUUCAGCAGGUAUCACAGUUAGAAUGGUUACCGGCGAUAACAUAAACACCGCAAAGGCGAUUGCUAGGGAAUGUGGGAUUCUUACUGAUGGUGGUAUAGCCAUUGAGGGUCCUGAUUUCAGAGAGAAGAAAUUGGAGGAAUUGGUUCAAUUAAUUCCCAAAAUUCAGGUGAUGGCUCGAUCUUCACCUCUAGACAAGCAUACUUUGGUAAAGCACUUGCGGACUACAUUCGACGAAGUGGUGGCGGUGACUGGUGAUGGAACGAAUGAUGCCCCAGCACUUCAUGAAGCAGACAUUGGACUAGCAAUGGGCAUUGCUGGAACUGAGGUGGCUAAGGAGAGUGCUGAUGUAAUUAUUCUGGAUGAUAAUUUCUCCACAAUUGUAACAGUGGCCAAAUGGGGACGUUCUGUUUACAUAAACAUUCAAAAAUUCGUGCAGUUUCAGCUGACAGUUAAUGUUGUUGCACUAAUUGUUAAUUUUUCCUCUGCUUGCUUGACAGGGAGUGCUCCCCUCACUGCUGUUCAGCUACUGUGGGUCAACAUGAUCAUGGAUACACUGGGAGCAAUUGCACUAGCAACAGAGCCUCCAACCGAUGAAUUAAUGAAGCGUUCACCGGUUGGGAAGAGAGGAAAUUUCAUCAGUAAUAUCAUGUGGAGGAAUAUUUUGGGGCAGUCAACUUAUCAGUUCACUGUGAUAUGGUUGCUUCAGGCAAAGGGAAAAUCAAUGUUCUCUCUUGAUGGCCCUGAUUCUAAUAUAGUCUUGAACACACUUAUAUUCAACGCAUUUGUCUUUUGCCAGGUUUUCAACGAGAUCAGCUCGCGCGAGAUGGAGCAAAUUAAUGUUUUCAAAGGCAUACUAAACAACUAUGUCUUUGUCAGUGUCCUUGGCGUCACUGUUAUCUUCCAAAUCAUAAUUGUUGAAUUCCUGGGAACUUUUGCAAACACAACACCUCUCACUCUGUCACAGUGGCUUGCCUGCAUAUCCAUCGGAUUCUUAGGCAUGCCGAUUGCAGCUGUUUUUAAGAUGAUCCCUGUGUGAACCUCAAAUCACAGUAAGAGGCCUAUGUUUCGUAACCUGUCAAAGAAAAUCCCUCUUCUCAAAAAUAGCAGGUUCUUCUCUGACCUUCCGUGUACGACUUUGAACCACCUUGCUUUUCUCGUGAUUGGAGUUUGAAGAUAAUUUGCCACAGUUCCCAGAAUCACCUUCUCCAAACAAUUUGUCUGUACAGUUAAGCAGGUGAUCCAUUGCCUGGUCCAGCGUUGUCUGCAAAAAGAAAGGGAUGCCAAAUCAGGCAUCCUCCACUGAGAGUUUUCACCAACAGCUGAUAAAUUGUUGCAGUUUCAAAGCACAGCUUCUUACAAAGAUAAAACCUAUGAUCCAGUAUUUAAUGUCAUAAUUAUGUGAUUGUGGUGGAUGCAAAAUGGAAAGGGCUUACUCCAUUUUAAAAUUUA